CGCCUAACACAUGCAAGUCGAACGAAGUAGCAAUACUUAGUGGCAGACGGGUGAGUAACAUGUAGGUAUCUACCCUAUGGCCUGGAAUAACACGAGGAAACUUGUGCUAAUACUGGAUAAGUCUUUACGGAGAAAGCUUUAUGCACCAUUGGAUGAGCCUGCACUUGAUUAGUUUGUUGGUGGGGUAAUGGCCUACCAAGACUUUGAUCAAUAGCUGAUUUGAGAGGAUGAUCAGCCACAUUGGGACUGAGACACGGCCCAAACUCCUACGGGAGGCAGCAGUGGGGAAUCUUGCACAAUGGAGGAAACUCUGAUGCAGCGAUGCCGCGUGAGUGAAGAAGGCCCUUGGGUUGUAAAGCUCUUUCGUCGGGGAAGAAAAUGACUGUACCCGAAUAAGAAGGUCCGGCUAACUUCGUGCCAGCAGCCGCGGUAAUACGAAGGGACCUAGCGUAGUUCGGAAUUACUGGGCUUAAAGAGUUCGUAGGUGGUUGAAAAAGUUGGUGGUGAAAUCCCAGAGCUUAACUCUGGAACUGCCAUCAAAACUUUUCAGCUAGAGUUUGAUAGAGGAAAGCAGAAUUUCUAGUGUAGAGGUGAAAUUCGUAGAUAUUAGAAAGAAUACCAAUUGCGAAGGCAGCUUUCUGGAUCAUUACUGACACUGAGGAACGAAAGCAUGGGUAGCGAAGAGGAUUAGAUACCCUCGUAGUCCAUGCCGUAAACGAUGUGUGUUAGACGUUGGAAAUUUAUUUUCAGUGUCGCAGCGAAAGCGAUAAACACACCGCCUGGGGAGUACGACCGC
RNAcentral lists this ribosomal RNA (796 nucleotides) under uncultured Pelagibacteraceae bacterium. RNAcentral describes it as "bacterial SSU rRNA". It matches the Rfam family "Bacterial small subunit ribosomal RNA", at positions 45 to 889 of the family's 1533-position model. Lineage: Bacteria; Pseudomonadati; Pseudomonadota; Alphaproteobacteria; Candidatus Pelagibacterales; Candidatus Pelagibacteraceae. The record is from RNAcentral.